Daucus carota subsp. sativus is the source of this 5140-nucleotide long non-coding RNA. RefSeq lists it as uncharacterized. NCBI's taxonomy places the organism in Eukaryota, Viridiplantae, Streptophyta, Magnoliopsida, Apiales, Apiaceae. The record is from RefSeq and is a predicted model, not a curated record. The transcript is spliced from 4 exons.
UUUAGAAGGAGUGAAGCUAUUAAAAAAAUUGCAUCUGCAAACAUUUUAUGACCAUAUAUCUUCUAUCGUUUUUGUCAAUAUUUUACAUAUUUUUUAAGAAUUACAUACUUAUAUAUAUAUAUUCAUUUUUUCUCUUUCUACUCGUCAGAUUAUCAUGUCCUGAUAUAUAUCAGGACAAGUAAUUUAUGCUGAGAGAUUGUAACGUGUUUUCAUGUAUAUUCAGGCAAGUAAUUUAUACUUUCAUGUAUCAAUGAGAGAUCUAAAAACAAAAACGUUGCAAUCACAAGAGUUGUACACACCGAGAAAGGGAAUUCUACACACAUACACAUUCAUGCCCAUAGUUAUUUACUCAUGAUAUCAGAUCAUUAUUAUCAUCUAUGCGGUUGUUAUAACAAAUCUGGUAUGUUUUUUUCUUAGUUAUGUUAUUCUUAUAAUCUCUACCUUAUCUUAUAAUUCUAAUUAGAAAAGUGUAUUCUCUUUUAGUUACGAGAUUUCAAGUUAAUAAUCUUGAAUGAAAAUAAACGUGUUAAAAAAUAUAAGUAAGAAGUUUAGAUCUUAUUCGAUCUUGAAAGAUCCAUAUAUGCUUACAAAAUCUCUAAUUAAAUUUUAUAAUUUAAUCUCAUUAGUUGUAAUUAUUUAUUCUAAAUGAUAUCAAAUAUUCACAGUUUCUGUAUCAUUUACAAUUUUCUUAUUAAAUUCAUCGUGGUGAUAAAAUAAUUACAGGAAAUAAUGAAGAAAAUGCUCCACAAUAAAUCCGUCCAAAUUGCGGCGGUCCAGUAUUACAACAAAACACGGUAACUUUGGGAUACAUAUUGUUAAUUAGUUUUUGUGUCGAUCAUUUCGCACAUAAAAAAUCUAACCCAAUAUAUCAAUGUUCUUCAACUACUAUAAUAGGUCUGAACUUAGCCGUACACCUGCGCAAGAGCUCGGUGGGUAUUUUGGUAAAUUUUAUUAUCCCGAUGGAUAUUUUAAUUGCACAUUUAUUUAUAUAUAAAUAUAAAUAUUUAUAUUUAUUUACAUCCACAUAGCAGCAAAAAAUAAUGAUACAGAACUAGAAAAUAAUUGUAUAUUCUGGUGUAUUAGGGCUAGGGGUACUGAUGCGUUGCCAUGCAAAAUGAUUGGGAUGAAAGGGACCGCUAGUUACACAUAUUGCAGAGAGUUUAUAAUAUUUGGUGUUGGCGAAGGAUUAUAUGGAGCUGCUGAUGCCGACAACUUCUUGUUGGGACUUCUCGAGUAUCACAUGGAAUUUUUUAUAUGAAUCCUCUUCUUUUAAUAUAUUAAUUUAUUAGGAAUCAUGUAUUAUUUUUUAAGUAAUGAUUUAGGAGCACUGGAGAUUUUUUGUAAGUCACUUCCCAAAGGAACCAUUUUAUUAUUAUUGUACAUAUGAUUGUAAUAAAAUGAUAUUUUAUAAUUAAACUUUUGUUUAAUUAAAUAAUGUUAAUAGUUUAAUAAUCAAAUUAAGUGAUUAAAAAUUAUAUAAUGAACUUGGAAUUUGAAUAUAGAUAGAAAUCGGGAUCCAGGAUUUUAAGAAUUUGUCGGUGGGGUUAUUUGGAUUCAUCUUUUGACAAAAAAAUUCAUAUAAAUUUUGAAUAUUAGAUCAAUAGGCAAUGUUUGAUAAGUGAAGAAUACAACAAAUAAGAUACGUUACUUGUUUAUAUAGAAGAGUAGACUUAACCGUUAUAAAUUUAUACGUUAAUAUCUAUUGUUAAUUAAUAUUAUAAUAUUAAUUAUACUGUUGAUAUUAUAACAGCAAGAGAAACUCAGAUAAUAAAAACACUUUGCAUGAUGUGUGUUCAAUGCAAAGUGAUGUUGCAACUUGCAUGGUGUAUAGUAAUGGAGAAAGGAUGAUCAAUUUGUUUGGUUUUUUUAUAAUUUAAUUUGUUUGUUUUUUAUUUUUAUUGUAUCAAUGUGAUUGUUUCCGUUUUUGUGAAAAAAGGGUCCUUUCAAAUUUUUUGUCAAAUACAUUUUAAUUUAAUUAAAUUUAUAUGAGGUACUGUACUCUUUUAAUGAAAAAAUAAAAAUAUUUGAUUAAACUAAAUUAAAGUAUAAAAUUAUUAAAAUUUGAUUAAAUAAAAUAACCGCCCCACCUGCGAACCGGUCACGUCGGCCGGAGCCUGACUCGGGAUUGGAAUUCGGAAACUCCGUAUCCAUAUUCAAGCAAGACACUACUCUAUUCCAAUUUUUUCCAAAAACCUUUCUUUUGGUCAUAGCUCAAUUCCAAUCAUAUUGCCUUCGCCUAAUAUAUAUAUCUAGUGUUUAAACUUUUUCAAUCACUAGCCAAUGUUCUCAAAAACCUUCUUUUGCAAUGAAUCAGGCUACUUUUGCAGACACUUUACAUUCUAGCUUAUGAGUUUGUAAUCGUGUUUAUCUGCAAUGCAAAGAUCUUUUUUAAAUCAAUUUUAAGAAUAUUGCUACCAUGCUCAGCAUUUCUUAAGUAACUCACAAGUUGGAUCGACAACAUGGCAAUUUCAACUCCUUCAUGGAACUAAGAACUGAUCAGCAACAGACUUCGGUUGUUUGUAUAGGACUUUCUGUUCUAAUCUCAUUCCCUGUACGUGACAUGCUAAUAAUUGUUGAAAUUCAAACAAUUCAUAAGUUUUGGUUUAGGAUUAAUUGUCAUUAGCACGGUAAAGUGAGACAAAAUAGUCCCAUCUCAAGAUUUGGUUUGGGAUUACAUAGUUACUUGUAGUGAAAAUUAGAACAAGUCGGCCCGUAAUAAACAUAGCCUUGAGAUUCUUUGAGUAGACGCUGAUCCUGGACCAAAGACCAAUGUGUUAUUUCUCUGAUUAAUUACUUUGAAUUUCACUGGUUUCCACAUUUCACUGAGUUUAGAGACAUGAGAAUUAUACUCGUAAACGAUCCUAGCCGUGAAUGAGAGUAGGAGCAUAGUAAUCUAGCAGUGGCUAUGAUUUAAUAAUUCUCAAUAUAAAAACUAUAGUUAGUUGUAGUUUGUCAUUUCUUUAGAAACUGAUAAAAGUCGUUUUAUAAGUUUCUCAAUAGUUAGUGCCUGAGGAACUUACAAUCACAAGCCAAACAUAAAAAUAUGAAGCAGAAGUUGACAAUGACACAAUCCCGUAUGAAACGGAAGCCUUGAAGUUCUACAAUCAAAUAACAGUCAGUUUUCUUUUGAAUGGUAUGUUUUGCUUUCUCUAAAAUUAAACCAUGGAUCAUUGUCUUUGUUGGAUUCUUUUGAUCUUUCUCUGUUUUCUGGUUGCCUUGAUAUAUAAUUCAUAGAAUCAAAACUAUGACUGGUGGGUAAACACGUCUGAUCCUGCCGACAUGCUUCUUCUUCUGUGUCAACUUCAACACUAAGGAGACUGAUUCUGCUUCCCCAGUGGAGUUGUUUAUCCAAUUGCUAGAAAUUUUACUAAGAAUACUUGAUCCAACAAUGCACCAAUAUAAUUUAUUCAUGAUACAGGUUCAGAUUAUAUGUUGAAUAUAUUAUUUUUGAAAAAAUGAUAUUGAUUAAUUUUGAAAAUGUUGGACAGACUUAAAUGGAAAAAACACCAAAACAUAUAUUAUUUUUAAUAUUCAAAAUCCAAAACUCGCAACAGAAAAAGAGGGUGAUUUUUACAUGUUAAAAUAAAAAACAACGGAAGUUACAAAACUGUGAGCGUUGCAAAACAAUGGGCGGUUUUAAUCUUGUGGGCGUGCAAAACUAUGGGCGGUUUUAAUCUUGUCCGUUCAGACAAAACAAAAACGAACGUCCUAGAUCUUUAGAUGGCAUCUUCAAUCGGGUAUAUAAUGAAAGGGGAACAUAAAUUAUUAUAUGCAAAUUUCAGAGUUCACAAGGAGUGAGAUAUAAAUUUUUUACAUAUAGACACUCAAGUACAAGCAUUUUAUUAUCACAUAUCGUUUAUUUAAUUUUUCAAUAUUUUACAUAUUUGAAAGAGUUAGAUUAAAUAUAUUAAUUUAUUUUUUUCUCUCCAUUGUCAGAUGAACAUGUUAUAAUAUAUAUAUCAAGGCAAGCAAUUUUUACUCCCAAAUGAUGCGGAGAGAUUUUUACGUACUGUUAUACGGGCAAGUAAAUUAUACAUCCAUCACGAUCCAAUCACAAAAAUUAUACACACCCAGAAAGAGAAAUUCUACACACAUACAUAUGCGUCCCUCUAAUUAUUUAGGCAUGAUAUCAAAUCAUGUUAUUAUUAUCUAUGCGGCCCUUGCAACAAAUAUGGUAUGUUAUUUUCUUUAUUAUCAUAUUCUUAUAAUCUCUACCUUUUGUUAUAAUUCUAAUUAACAUUGGUGAUGUGUAUUCUCUUUUAAUUACGAGAUUUCGUUUACAUAUUAUUGAAUGAUAAUAAUGUAUUCAAAAAAUAUAAAUAGUAAAUUAAGAUGUUAUUCAAUCUUGAAUGAUCUUUUUUUUUUUUGAAGUCUCAAUCUUGAAUGAUCUAGACAAUAUUGCUAAUUAUAAUUUUAUAAUUUAAUAUCAUUUUAUCGUAAUUAUUUAUUCAAAAUGAUAUGAAAUAUUAAAAUUUUCAAUAUCAUUUAAAUUCUUUCUUAUUAUAUUUAUCGUGUUAAUAAAAUAAUUACAGGAAACAAUGAAGAUAAUGCUCCAAAAUAAACCUGCCCAAUUACGCCGAAGCAGUGUUACCACAAAAGAUGGUUUGGAAUCAGCUCAACACAUGCGCAAUAUCUCGGUGACUAUUCUGAGCAAACACUUCAACCGUGCAGUGGAGUUGCGCAACCAUCAUUUGAUGGCUUCUUCCUCCCAACCUGGAUGUGGAGAUUGAUGAUGAAAAUCAACUAUCAUGAUUCGGAUGCGGUAUAUAUAUGUGCUCACGCAUGUCAAAGAGAUGACAUUAACUCAUUCAGAACAUGCUAAGAUGAAGCUGUUGAAGAAAAGAAGCACCAUCUUCAGGAUCAGAGGGAAGUAUAUUUAAACAAAAAAAUGGGGAAUGGAUUGGAGCAGCAGCAGGAACAUAAUCAUAUAGAAGAAUCAGAAAAUGCAGAGACCAGUGGCCUUUGGGAUCGACUUUUAUAUUUAAACUAAAUGUAUCUUUCUUAAUCCGCACCUCUUAAUGUACAAUUGUAUAUAAGAAUGUAAGAAAACUAUCAGAUGUUGAAGUUGCAUUGUUAAUAUACAUUAGUUUGCUACACACACAUUGUAAUGAUAUUGUAUCAAAUGGAUGGUUUUUUAGUA